This 106-nucleotide ribosomal RNA is filed under the name Eumeta japonica. The record is from RNAcentral. Lineage: Eukaryota; Metazoa; Arthropoda; Insecta; Lepidoptera; Psychidae.
CCGUAUCACGCUGAAUACACCGGUUCUCGUCCGAUCACCGAAGUUAGCAGCGUCGGGCGCGGUCAGUACUUGGAUGGGUGACCGCCUGGGAACACCGCGAGAUGUU